RNAcentral lists this long non-coding RNA (2851 nucleotides) under Nilaparvata lugens (brown planthopper). Its description in RNAcentral is "uncharacterized LOC120355642, transcript variant X2". The record is from RNAcentral. Lineage: Eukaryota; Metazoa; Arthropoda; Insecta; Hemiptera; Delphacidae.
ACACAUACAUACGCUUACCACUCUGUUGCUAGCUAAUUCCCCGCCGAGAGCCGAUUUUGGUCAGACACGUUUCCUCAACUUGGCUAACAAAAUUCCUGUCUCAAUUAAAUUUAUGACUGGAGCUGUUUCACCCUCGGCAUCGGCAUUCGUUCAUCUUAUUCCACACAGAUAGCAUCCGCAGCUAAAAAUUUCUGCAACUUAUUCAGCCUAGAUCGUAUUACAAAUAGAUCUGUUUGUCUUCGAAGUGGGAGCUUUCUGAGAACUCAAAACUUUUCAAAUAAUAUAAAUUUAGAAUUCCGUGAUUGUUAAGUCUAGCAAUACCGUAUUUGAAACCGUAUAGAAGUAUCAGGUAUGAUGGUUUGUCCUGAGAAUUUUUUUGUAUCAGAAUUGAAAAAUGCUGAACAAUUGUAAUCCAUGCUUAUUUCAGUUUAGAAGUGACAAGUUUUUUAUUGAAAUUGGACAUUUCUUGAAAUCCCAAGACUUUAGAAGUAUCAUUCAAAAUAAAAAAGUACAGAGUUAUUAUAACCGGAUGUUAAUAGCUGUAUAAAAGUGAGAAGUUUAAUAUUGGAAUUUUAAUUAUAUUUUAACAAUCUAAGACUUUUAGGAGUGACAUAACUGAGUUGAAUGAAAUUCUGAUCGGGUGUUUUUGAUAUCUUCAAAAAAGAAUUUCUGGAGAACAAUACAGUGAUUCAGAUCAUGCAACUUAAUAAUUCGAGUCCUGUAAAAGUAACAAGCGUAAUUUAAACAUGGGUAUUAGUAUUGAGUAUAGACGAGUUUUUCUUAGAACAAUAGUGAUAAAAUAAACAACGUCCGAACUUCGUUAUUGUCCGUUACUGUUGUAAUUUGAACUGAGUAUUUUUUUGACAACCCAAUACCGGUCUUUUGAAGUAUCAUAAUUUGAAGAUACAAAGUGUGCAAAAGUUGAAGGAAUGUUCCGAAAGUUGGUUUUUUAAAGUCGAGUAAAAGUUGAAGGAAUGUUUUGAAAGUUGGUUUCUCUCAAUCUCCAAAAAAGGAAGUUUUUAAAAGUUCAGAAACAUCAGGAUUUAAGAUUACAGUGAUUGUAGUAGGUACCGUGAUGUAAUUUUUGAUGUUUUAAGCCGUGUAUUAGCAAGAUAUAUAGAAUUAAAAAGUGAGUAUUUUGUUUCAUACAAGUCUGUAACAGCAGUUGCGCUGCUUGAUGGUAACUUCACAUGUAUACAAUUCGUUUAAUAUUCAGGUCGAGUCGCAAUGUAUUCUAUCAAAGAACAACGUGUGUCUAUUGUACUGCUUUAGAGUGAAUCCGAUUCGUUCGCCAAGUGUCAAAAAACGUUCUUCGAUAAUAUUCAGAGUGGGGGAAAAAUAAGUGUAUUAUUAUAAAAAUAAAAAAUAAGUGUAUUAUCUCCAGAAUGUUGUAUGGCUAUUUCGCUGUAGUUAGUUGUAUAACUUAACACAUCUAGCCAGAAACACAAUGCUUCGUCUGGUGAGGUUCAAAGCGUAUUUAGUUUGGAUUUGAUAAAUUACAAACAUAUUCAACGAUUUUCGUAAUAUUAUUAGUGGUAUUUUUUACUGGGAUUAAGAUUUGCACUCACUUGACAAACAUACACUGGCGAGUAUGUAAUAGUCUAACUAGUGCGAGCUUAGUUAGCAGCCCUGUAUAAAGGUUUAUUCUAUUUCAUAAUAUCCAUGUCUAUAGAACAGUGGUUUUCAACCGUUUUUCUCAAGAGCCACAUUCUGAAAUUUUGGAGGAAACGCGGGCCGAUAAGUUUGGCCAGAAAUUAUCACCACUCCCCCUCCUUUAUUAAGUGAUAAAAUGAAUUAUUUAUCACUAACUACUUUAUUUAUCACUUAAUCAAGUGAUAAAAUGCACUCCUUUAUGAGUGUUUUAAUGAGUGAUAAAAUGCUCAAUAGUGAUAGAUGAUGAAUAGUUAUUUUUAAGAUUUUAUAUUGAAGUUUUCAAAAUUGUUAUUUUUUACAUUGGUAAAAACUGAUUAUAUUGAUAGAAAUCUAGUCCAUUCACGAAAUAAUAUUUUUUUACUGAGCUACCUUAUAAAAUCUUUUCGAGGUUGGAGACCCCUGCUAUAGUAAGUUGAACUCAGCUUGUGCUAUACUCGUAAGUAUAAAAUGUUUAGUACCUAUGUAAUAAGGUUGGUCAAGGUGUGAUGUCUUUUGACCAUGAUAAGCAGUUGAGUUUUGUAAUCCACUCAUAUCAGCAGCUCCAAGAAGCCAGUUUCUAUAUACUGUAAAUGUAUAGCAGUAGAAGCAUUAUGUACUGGAGCUCAUGCUAAUUUAAAGUGUGGUAAAGCAGGAGCAAAAUUUACUUUCUUCAAAAUAAUAAAUCGCAUUGAAUGGAUUACAUUAUCUUCAUGGCGGUUUCACAAGAGAUGUAUCCUGAAUGCCUUAGCAUAGAAUAUGAAAUGAAUUUGAUGACGUCCCCAUUUUCGAUAAAUUGACAAUUCUGGCAUUUGACUGAUUUGUCAUUACAUUUGCAUAGUAGGAUCAAGUUCAGUAUCUUCCUGGAUGUUGCAUAGAAAAUUAUGACCCGCAACUUGUAUAUCAAUAGGCCUAAUGUGCUCCUCUCUUUUUGAGAAAAAUAUAUUGAACAAGUUCUAAUUCUCAAUACAUCAUAAAUUAACAACAUGAAAUAGGCUAUGUGAUGCACCAACCAAAAAUAGCAGAGCUGCGAUUGGUUUAUAUUGUACCAUAUUAAUUAUAUUUCUGUAACUUAAUGUAUAAUCUAUUACUCUAUCCAACUCAGUAAUGGAUGCAAUAUUACACAUUGAAAAAUACAAACGUUUAUGUCAAUUCUCGAUUAUUAUAUGAGCAAUUGAACACGUAAAAUGCUAUGAACAAUGAAAAUCAUACUUACCCGUGU